AUUGAACGCUGGCGGCAGGCCUAACACAUGCAAGUCGAGCGGAUGAAGGGAGCUUGCUCCUGGAUUCAGCGGCGGACGGGUGAGUAAUGCCUAGGAAUCUGCCUGGUAGUGGGGGAUAACGUCCGGAAACGGGCGCUAAUACCGCAUACGUCCUGAGGGAGCAAGUGGGGGAUCUUCGGACCUCACGCUAUCAGAUGAGCCUAGGUCGGAUUAGCUAGUUGGUGGGGCAAAGGCCUACCAAGGCGACGAUCCGUAACUGGUCUGAGAGGAUGAUCAGUCACACGGGAACUGAGACACGGUCCAGACUCCUAAGGGAGGCAGCAGUGGGGAAUAUUGGACAGUGGGCGAAAGCCUGAUCCAGCCAGGCCGCGUGUGUGAAGAAGGUCUUCGGAUUGUAAAGCACUUUAAGGUGGGAGGAAGGGCAGUAAGUUAAUACCUUGCUGUUUUGACGUUACCAACAGAAUAAGCACCGGCUAACUUCGUG
This 484-nucleotide ribosomal RNA is filed under the name uncultured bacterium. Its description in RNAcentral is "partial 16S ribosomal RNA". It matches the Rfam family "Bacterial small subunit ribosomal RNA", at positions 30 to 507 of the family's 1533-position model. The record is from RNAcentral.